Cinara cedri is the source of this 202-nucleotide non-coding RNA. NCBI's taxonomy places the organism in Eukaryota, Metazoa, Arthropoda, Insecta, Hemiptera, Aphididae. The record is from the annotation of a GenBank genome assembly.
ACGUCGGUCGCGUAACCAUUCAUGUUACCUUGCAGAGUUGCAGAUAACUAUUGACCAUAAAACAGUCUGAUUAUCUGACAUUAUUCGCGCGAAAAUAAUCAACACUAUCAUAAUUUGCACUAUAAUACAUAUUAACCAUUGUUGUGAACUUUAUAGUUGUGUAAAAAAAAUUCUGAUUUAUGUUUUUAUAAUGACGUAUAGU